GAAAAUAAUGGAGAGUCAAUAUGUCUCUUCGUUGAAAAGAACAUGGAGGUAUGGCGAAAUGGCCGAGAUAUUGUUUCAGUCGUCACUUUCUCAGAUUGACGAUUCAAUUGUUGUUCAUCUAUAU
Molecule: non-coding RNA, 124 nt
Organism: Morus notabilis
Lineage: Eukaryota; Viridiplantae; Streptophyta; Magnoliopsida; Rosales; Moraceae
Source: Rfam